AUGCUUGUUUUGGUAGCACAUAUACAAAAAUUGGAAUGAUACAGAAAAGAUUAGCAAGGCCCCUGUGCAAGGAUGACAUGAAUUUAUUAAUUUUAUUUAU
This is a small nuclear RNA of Callithrix jacchus (white-tufted-ear marmoset), 100 nucleotides long. NCBI's taxonomy places the organism in Eukaryota, Metazoa, Chordata, Mammalia, Primates, Cebidae. The record is from Ensembl.